RNAcentral lists this ribosomal RNA (1372 nucleotides) under uncultured bacterium. Its description in RNAcentral is "bacterial SSU rRNA". It matches the Rfam family "Bacterial small subunit ribosomal RNA", at positions 28 to 1381 of the family's 1533-position model. The record is from RNAcentral.
GAUGAACGCUGGCGGCGUGCCUAAUACAUGCAAGUCGAGCGAACGGACGAGAAGCUUGCUUCUCUGAUGUUAGCGGCGGACGGGUGAGUAACACGUGGAUAACCUACCUAUAAGACUGGGAUAACUUCGGGAAACCGGAGCUAAUACCGGAUAAUAUUUUGAACCGCAUGGUUCAAAAGUGAAAGACGGUCUUGCUGUCACUUAUAGAUGGAUCCGCGCUGCAUUAGCUAGUUGGUAAGGUAACGGCUUACCAAGGCAACGAUGCAUAGCCGACCUGAGAGGGUGAUCGGCCACACUGGAACUGAGACACGGUCCAGACUCCUACGGGAGGCAGCAGUAGGGAAUCUUCCGCAAUGGGCGAAAGCCUGACGGAGCAACGCCGCGUGAGUGAUGAAGGUCUUCGGAUCGUAAAACUCUGUUAUUAGGGAAGAACAUAUGUGUAAGUAACUGUGCACAUCUUGACGGUACCUAAUCAGAAAGCCACGGCUAACUACGUGCCAGCAGCCGCGGUAAUACGUAGGUGGCAAGCGUUAUCCGGAAUUAUUGGGCGUAAAGCGCGCGUAGGCGGUUUUUUAGGUCUGAUGUGAAAGCCCACGGCUCAACCGUGGAGGGUCAUUGGAAACCGGAAAACUUGAGUGCAGAAGAGGAAAGUGGAAUUCCAUGUGUAGCGGUGAAAUGCGCAGAGAUAUGGAGGAACACCAGUGGCGAAGGCGACUUUCUGGUCUGUAACUGACGCUGAUGUGCGAAAGCGUGGGGAUCAAACAGGAUUAGAUACCCUGGUAGUCCACGCCGUAAACGAUGAGUGCUAAGUGUUAGGGGGUUUCCGCCCCUUAGUGCUGCAGCUAACGCAUUAAGCACUCCGCCUGGGGAGUACGACCGCAAGGUUGAAACUCAAAGGAAUUGACGGGGACCCGCACAAGCGGUGGAGCAUGUGGUUUAAUUCGAAGCAACGCGAAGAACCUUACCAAAUCUUGACAUCCUUUGACAACUCUAGAGAUAGAGCUUUCCCCUUCGGGGGACAAAGUGACAGGUGGUGCAUGGUUGUCGUCAGCUCGUGUCGUGAGAUGUUGGGUUAAGUCCCGCAACGAGCGCAACCCUUAAGCUUAGUUGCCAUCAUUAAGUUGGGCACUCUAAGUUGACUGCCGGUGACAAACCGGAGGAAGGUGGGGAUGACGUCAAAUCAUCAUGCCCCUUAUGAUUUGGGCUACACACGUGCUACAAUGGACAAUACAAAGGGCAGCGAAACCGCGAGGUCAAGCAAAUCCCAUAAAGUUGUUCUCAGUUCGGAUUGUAGUCUGCAACUCGACUACAUGAAGCUGGAAUCGCUAGUAAUCGUAGAUCAGCAUGCUACGGUGAAUACGUUCCCGGGUCU